RNAcentral lists this transfer RNA (72 nucleotides) under Rexea prometheoides (royal escolar). RNAcentral's name for it is "tRNA-Val". It matches the Rfam family "tRNA". From Rfam's summary of the family: Transfer RNA (tRNA) molecules are approximately 80 nucleotides in length. Their secondary structure includes four short double-helical elements and three loops (D, anti-codon, and T loops). Further hydrogen bonds mediate the characteristic L-shaped molecular structure. tRNAs have two regions of fundamental functional importance: the anti-codon, which is responsible for specific mRNA codon recognition, and the 3' end, to which the tRNAs corresponding amino acid is attached (by aminoacyl-tRNA synthetases). tRNAs cope with the degeneracy of the genetic code in two manners: having more than one tRNA (with a specific anti-codon) for a particular amino acid; and 'wobble' base-pairing, i.e. permitting non-standard base-pairing at the 3rd anti-codon position. The record is from RNAcentral. Lineage: Eukaryota; Metazoa; Chordata; Actinopteri; Scombriformes; Gempylidae.
CAGAGUAUAGCUAAGUUAGCAUAGCGUUUCCCUUACACUGAAAAGUCGUCCGUGCAAAUCGGACUACCCUGA